Molecule: ribosomal RNA, 467 nt
Filed under: uncultured bacterium
Lineage: Bacteria
Description: partial 16S ribosomal RNA
Rfam family: Bacterial small subunit ribosomal RNA
Source: RNAcentral
GAUGAACGCUGGCGGCGUGCUUAACACAUGCAAGUCGAACGGAAAGGCCCAAGCUUGCUUGGGUACUCGAGUGGCGAACGGGUGAGUAACACGUGGGUGAUCUGCCCUGCACUUCGGGAUAAGCCUGGGAAACUGGGUCUAAUACCGGAUAGGACCACUUCUUGGAUGUUGUGGUGGAAAGUUUUUUCGGUGUGGGAUGAGCUCGCGGCCUAUCAGCUUGUUGGUGGGGUAAUGGCCUACCAAGGCGUCGACGGGUAGCCGGCCUGAGAGGGUGUACGGCCACAUUGGGACUGAGAUACGGCCCAGACUCCUACGGGAGGCAGCAGUGGGGAAUAUUGCACAAUGGGCGCAAGCCUGAUGCAGCGACGCCGCGUGGGGGAUGACGGCCUUCGGGUUGUAAACUCCUUUCGCUAGGGACGAAGCGUUUUGCGACGGUACCUGGAGAAGAAGCACCGGCUAACUACGUG